RNAcentral lists this ribosomal RNA (220 nucleotides) under uncultured bacterium. Its description in RNAcentral is "partial 16S ribosomal RNA". It matches the Rfam family "Bacterial small subunit ribosomal RNA", at positions 118 to 310 of the family's 1533-position model. The record is from RNAcentral.
UGGGUAACCUGCCUCAAAGAGGGGAAUAGCCUCCCGAAAGGGAGAUUAAUACCGCAUAAUAUGUUUAAGUCGCAUGACUUUAACAUCAAAGGAUUUUCUUUUAGAACUUCCACUUUGAGAUGGACCCGCGGCGCAUUAGCUAGUUGGUGAGGUAACGGCUCACCAAGGCAACGAUGCGUAGCCGACCUGAGAGGGUGACGUCCGACCACUAGUAGACNGA